ACAGGCCUCAGACUACUAACACAUCUUAUCUGUGUCCUUAUCCAGCUGCUAGCAGUGGUGUUUGCUGCAGUAUCAACAUGUUUCAUUGUGAGCAUCAACACACAUUCUUGUUAAAAGCUCAAUUAUUCAGUUUAUGAAUAAAGAGAGAGGGAGGAUAAGAACAUUUGAAGGCUGUAAACUAAAUAAAUUCAGAACAAGUGAUGGAGAGUAAACCACUGAUGAGGAAGUGAGCAGGAAGUUGAAGCUGUGUUCAUCUCUGAGACUGUUUCAUUUGUGAAUGUGAGAGCAGAGAGUAGAGACUGACAGACAGAGAAGUACGAUGGCUGCAGUCAUGUGGAUUCAAAUGUCUUCAUUCCUGCUGCUGAUGCUUCAGAUUACAGCAGAAACAACACCACAGACUUUGUCCUCCUUCAGAGCUGCCAGAGCUGGACAUGACAUCAUUUUGUCUUGUGAAAAUGUGAUAGAUGGUCAACAUAACUGUGACUAUACUACCUGGAAUUUCAUUGAUUCAAGAAACACAGCAUCAGUAGAGCUGGUUGCUCAUGGACAGAUUAAUGAAAAUGUUAAAGCUGAAUACACCAGACUGAGUGUUACAGCGAACUGUUCUCUGCUUAUAAAGAAGGUCAAAGCUGAAGAUGUUGGUGGUUACACCUGCAGACAGUACAAAACAAGAGGAGGACCACAAGAAGGCCCAGACUUUACAGUUUAUCUGUCUGUUAUUAACAUGACUGAACAUGAGAACAAUGAUAAAGUCAUUGUGAACUGCUCUGUGCUGACACAUGGACACUGUAGACACACAGUGGAGUGGCUGCAUGAGGGUGAAAAGAAUAAAUCAGACGUGGAGAAUAAACCAGGUUCCUGCUCUGUGACUGUGACAUUUAAAAGAUCUCACCGUGAUCAGAAGUCAAAGUUUUAUAAUUCAUUGAAGUGUAAAGUGACAAAUAAUUACACUAAAGAAGAACAACUGUUUCCCUUCAAACUCAAGUCCUCACGUGAGAAAACAGGUGAAAACACAAAAUCAAAGACUGCAAAAUUCACCUCAACAACAACAACAACAACAUUAACAACAACAACAAUAAUGAGAUCAACAAAAUCUUCUCUAGAAUCAAAAAAAACCUCACAAGGUUUGUUAUUAUUGUUUAUUAUCCUUCCCGUUGGUUUAUCAGCACUCUUAAUAACUGCUGUGAUCAUCAGAUGGAAGAAACAUAAAGGAAAAGAAAGGCAGCUGGCUGGCAACACUGGAGUGAGCUUAAACCCUGCAGAGACUCAGUCUGGACCAGGAACCAAUCAAACCAGGGCUGGAGCUGAUGAUGGUGUUUCCUACGUCUCCAUCAGCUUCACCAAGAGGACCAAGAAUAAAACCCGGUCCCGUAGUCAUGAUGAAGGUGACACUGUGACCUAUAGCACUGUGAAAGCUUUCUCCUCUUCUGCUGGAGAUGAUCCCAACCACCUCUAUUCCACCAUCAAUUAUGUAAAGAAGUAGGAUGUUGCUCAUGAAAGGUGAUAUGUUAGAUGCUGUUUCACUUUUUAGAGGAGAGAAUGAAUGUGAAAAGUCAUAGGUUAUUUUUAUUUUAUUUUUUUUGUCUUACGUAUGUGUUGUUUUGAACUAAUAACAUAAUAUUGUUAUGGUAAAUAGACUUAUAUAGUGCUUUUCUACUCUACCUGAGCACUCAAAGCGCUUUAUACAACACAUUCAUUCACCCAAGCAGUUAAGUGCUCCCUAUCUAACAUUAAUACUCAUUCAUACUUCGAUGGAAGCAUCGGAGAGCAACAUGGGGUUAGUAUCUUGCCCAAGGAUAUUUGGCGUGCAGACUGGAGCAGACUGGGAUCAAACCACGACCCUUCUGGUUAGUAGCUGACCUGCUCUAACACCUGAGCUACAGACACCAAACUCAAAAACAUUUAUGUUUCAAAAACAGACAUGUUACCUCAGAUAUAUAUUUCUGUUUUGACUUAAACUGUUUCUGUCAGAGGUGUAUGUGUUGACGUUUUAUUGCAAGAAACCUUUUCUGUUUGCUGCUGCUCAUAAAAGUUUAGCUGAUAGCGUCCUAUCACAGUACAUGACAUCUUUCCUGUCUAAGGCACAGCUUCAAAUGCAUCUGUCCUGAACAGUGCCACUGUAAAUAAAUGCUUUAAAUAAAGGAUCCAGAUACUUUUUUCACUUUAAGAAGAAAUCACUUUACAGCCUGUGUCAUUUUGUUAUAACUGCACAUAUUGAAGUGAUCAAUGAAAAAAAGAUAAUGUUGGAUUUACUUAACUCAAUAUUGGACAUUGGUUAAACACAUUUGUUUUGCUUUGGCAACAACUUAAACAAUCAACUUAAAAUGGGGUGUUAAAUAUGCCAAAGAUGCUUACAUAAAUCCAACAGAUGGCCAGUCUCCUUUUUUCAUUGUUGGUUAUAAUAAGAAGAACACUAAAACUAAUAGAAACGAAAACAUUUUUAAUUAUUUUUCAGUCACAUUAACCAGUUGCAGGACAUUAAAGGCAGUGGUUAAGUAUUUUUUAGCCUGAUUCACUAAAAGCUGUAUGAAGAAAAACUGCUGCUAAUCUGAAUUUUGAACUGUAGUCAACAUUUGUUCAGUCUUAGCAAUUUAGCAAACUCCAGAAAAAUGAUGAGGACUAUUGACUUCUUAUAGACUAUUGGGUGUGUUAACCAUUUGUGUUUCUGACGUUUAUGUGGUCAUCAUGAGAGGCUCAACCCUCCAGAGUUCUGCUGCUGUUGUACCCACAUUCUCACCAAAACACUUCCCCUUCACUUCUCAGAAAAAGAUAAAAUUACACUUCAGAAGUGCAAUGAGGAAGCAUCAGCCCACAGACCGUUAACACAUCUUAUUUGUGCUCUCAUCUAGCUGCUAGCAGUGGUGACUGCAGCAGUAUUGCAAUGUUUGAUAGUGAAUAAGAUAAAUUCUUGAGCGUAAUGAGACUGACUUUUGAUCUAUUUUCAUCUGUGCUCACAAAACCUUUCUACAAAAGAGCUACAAUAAUGCACGCACUUAACUAAACUUCUUACAUUUUAAUUUAAGACAGUUAAGUGUUUUAGCCCUGCAACAGACUGGGGACCUGUCCAGGGUGUACCUCGUUUCUCACCUGAUGACAGCUGGGACAGGCUCCAGCUCCUCCCUGAGACACUGAUAAUGAUAAGCAGAAGAGAAUAAAUAGAUAGAUGGAUAGUUAAGUGCACUAUUUUUAAGAUUUUUACAACUUCCUCUUACACAGUUUUGUGUUGAUGUUAGUCAAAGAGAGAGUUUUUGAAUUCUUACUAAGAGUUACUAAGACAGCACAAUAUUUGCAAUUCACUUUACUUACCAUGAGGGUCUUCAGGAAGUACAACCUGGACUCAAACCUGCUGCUGACCUUCUGCCUGUCGUCCAUUGAGAGCCUCCUGAGAUACUGUAUCACAGUAUGGUACGGCAACUGCACCAUGGCAGACAGGGAGAACUCCAGAGAGUAGUUAAGGCAGCACAGAAGAUCAUUGGCUGCCCCCUUCCCUCUCUGAUGGACCUUUAUACCUCACACUGCCUCAGCAGAGCAACAAACAUCAUCAAGGACAGCUCCCACCCUGGUUCUGACCUGUUCAACCUGCUGCCCUCAGAGAGGCACUACGGGUGCCACUACAUUCAGGCCUGUGAGACUUAUUCAGAGACUCAGACACUGAGCCAUGGCUCUGUGCAAAGACAGUUUGCAUAUAGUUUAUGUAUAGUUUAGUUUUAUGUAAUAUUCGAUACUGAACUGCAAAUUAAAUCUUUUUCAAAGGAGAAUGUUUUAUUCAAUGUUUUCAUAGAAGCCUUAUUUUUUUUGCAUUUCCCUAUACUAAGGAGAACACACAUGAGUUUUAGUUUGAUAGUUUGAAACCUUUUCUCCUCCACAAUGGAAAAUGGACGAAAUUAAAAUGUUUGCUAAAGAGGAGCAAAUAAUUUAGGGCAAAAUCUACUGAUAGCUAAAGUAAAACAAUCCUGUUGCAAGAUUGAACUUAAUUUUCACCAAACUUAUUUGUGGUGAACAUAUAAAAAUCUAAAAUAAACCAAAAAUCAUCCAUUAGAUGUGGAUAUCAACAUAUAUUCAGUGUUUACCCUCCACUGAAAGGUGCAGGUCUGUGUUCUUUUAUAUUCUGAAAUGUCCUCAAAGUAUAGAAGUUAAAAGGAGCUCUUUGAAGGAAAUUUGUCCCGGCUAUUUAGUGCAAAGCUAACUGAAACUCACCAUAUUAAUAUAAUAGUAAAAUGAUAUUAAUACAAGAAAAUAUGAGCCUUAUUUCAGCUUCUAUUAAUAAUCGCUGCACUUCAAUCGAAGUCAUUAGCCUUCUCUGGGCCCAAACUCAGCUGCAGAUCCAUAAGUCACACGUGUACUGUAGCAUCACUGAGAGUUAAAAACUGUCUAAAUUCUUUCAUCUGUAAUAAAAUGAUCAGUGUGUAACAAUUAGGUUUAACAGCCAGGCAUCCAUGAAAACAGACAUUUAUCGGAGUUAGAAGUUAGCAGGAAGUUAGCUCACUAGUUUCCAUCUAAACAUAAUCUACCAUAUUCUGACUGAGGGAUUUCUGAAAAAAUUAAAACAUACAGCUCUGCUAUCACUUCUGGCAUAGAUGAAGACAGGAAAGUAAACAGCAGUGACUUUUGUAGGGUUACUGAAGUUGGACUAGCUGAUAUAUAAUGAUGUGCUAGUGAUCGCUAUAAACCUUUUUCCACUUGAUAAAAGUUAACAUGAGGAUUCCCGAUGGUUAGGAACAAGUGCAGUCGCAUGGCAGGAUGCUGUAAACGAACCAAACAUCAGUCAGGAGAACAACUGAGAUAAUCCAUCCACAAUACGAGGUUAGUCAUUAAUAUAGUGCGGCAUGGGCUGGGCUGUAGUUACAUCGUACGGUUUUAAAAACUGAUAUUUAAAAUAAUUAGCGGUAAUAAAAACCGAGAGAGGCCGACAGUGAUCACUGACUGUUUUAGGGAUUUGUUGAGAUUAAAUAGAAAACUCUUAAAAGUGUAUCUGGUGACACAGAAACAGCAGCAUUGCAAAACUUUAUUUACUCUGUGGGACAAUUUCCUCCACUGUUGCCACUUCUGAUUUCCUACGAAUGGCAUUCUGGGAUAACUGUCUGACCCAGGUCCACACCUUGCACUGCUUGUAACCAAUCAGAUGUUAGGGUCUCAUAGUGUGUGGUUAACUCACUGUGUAUGUACUAUGUAGAAAAAACAUCUCAAAACAACAACAACAGGCGUGCUGUGUUUAAAAUGAUGGGAAGUCUAAAGACAGUCCAGAGAAACUCAUCAGUGUGUUAACCAUUUGUGGUUCUGGUGUUUAUCUGGUCAUCAUUACAGGCUCAAACCUCCAGAGCUCUGCUGCUGUUGUACCAACACUCUCAACAAAAACACUUCCCCUUCAGUUCUCAGAAAUAAAUGACUUCAUUGGUGCAAUGAGGAGCCAAAAGGUCUCAGACCACUAAUACAUCUUAUCUGUGUUUUUAUCUAGCUGCUCAAAGUGGUGACUGCUGCAGUAUCACUAUGCUUCAUUGUGGACAUAAAGACUCAAAUUCCAUCACAAACUAAUUUGUGCUGCGAGAAAACAUG
This is a long non-coding RNA of Oreochromis niloticus (Nile tilapia), 5553 nucleotides long. The record is from Ensembl. Lineage: Eukaryota; Metazoa; Chordata; Actinopteri; Cichliformes; Cichlidae.